This 381-nucleotide ribosomal RNA is filed under the name Blastocystis sp. RNAcentral describes it as "SSU rRNA". It matches the Rfam family "Eukaryotic small subunit ribosomal RNA", at positions 551 to 942 of the family's 1831-position model. The record is from RNAcentral. Lineage: Eukaryota; Bigyra; Opalinata; Blastocystidae.
GAGGGCAAGUCUGGUGCCAGCAGCCGCGGUAAUUCCAGCUCCAAUAGCGUAUAUUAACGUUGUUGCAGUUAAAAAGCUCGUAGUUGAAGUGUGGGUGAUCGCUGUUGUGAGACUUCGGUCUCUCGAAAAUAAGUCACCCCCUUCCAGUAUCCAGUAGUGGGUAUUCAGUUACUUACUAUUGUGUGUUGGUCGUUUACUGUGAGAAAAUUAGAGUGUUCAAAGCAGGCGUUUGCUUGAAUAGAUUAGCAUGGAAUAAUAAUUGAAGGCUUUCGUGUUCGAUUUGAUUGGUUUGUUCAUGGAAGCAAGGUUAAAAGGAACAGUUGGGGGUAUUCAUAUUCACUAGUUAGAGGUGAAAUUCUCGGAUUUAUGGAAGAUGAACAA